GGUCUCGUGGUCAAUCGGUUAAGACAUCGCCCUUUCACGGCGGAGUGCCGGGUUCGACUCCCGGCGAGAUCACCA
Molecule: transfer RNA, 75 nt
Filed under: Christensenellaceae bacterium
Lineage: Bacteria; Bacillati; Bacillota; Clostridia; Christensenellales; Christensenellaceae
Description: tRNA-Glu
Rfam family: tRNA
About the family: Transfer RNA (tRNA) molecules are approximately 80 nucleotides in length. Their secondary structure includes four short double-helical elements and three loops (D, anti-codon, and T loops).
Source: RNAcentral